GGUUAAGCGACUAAGCGUACACGGUGGAUGCCCUGGCAGUCAGAGGCGAUGAAGGACGUGCUAAUCUGCGAUAAGCGUCGGUGAGGUGAUAUGAACCGUUAUAACCGGCGAUUUCCGAAUGGGGAAACCCAGUGUGUUUCGACACACUAUCAUUAACUGAAUCCAUAGGUUAAUGAGGCGAACCGGGGGAACUGAAACAUCUAAGUACCCCGAGGAAAAGAAAUCAACCGAGAUUCCCCCAGUAGCGGCGAGCGAACGGGGAGGAGCCCAGAGCCUGAAUCAGUGUGUGUGUUAGUGGAAGCGUCUGGAAAGGCGCGCGAUACAGGGUGACAGCCCCGUACACAAAAAUGCACAUACUGUGAGCUCGAUGAGUAGGGCGGGACACGUGGUAUCCUGUCUGAAUAUGGGGGGACCAUCCUCCAAGGCUAAAUACUCCUGACUGACCGAUAGUGAACCAGUACCGUGAGGGAAAGGCGAAAAGAACCCCGGCGAGGGGAGUGAAAAAGAACCUGAAACCGUGUACGUACAAGCAGUGGGAGCCUCUUAAUGGGGUGACUGCGUACCUUUUGUAUAAUGGGUCAGCGACUUAUAUUCUGUAGCAAGGUUAACCGAAUAGGGGAGCCGAAGGGAAACCGAGUCUUAACUGGGCGUUAAGUUGCAGGGUAUAGACCCGAAACCCGGUGAUCUAGCCAUGGGCAGGUUGAAGGUUGGGUAACACUAACUGGAGGACCGAACCGACUAAUGUUGAAAAAUUAGCGGAUGACUUGUGGCUGGGGGUGAAAGGCCAAUCAAACCGGGAGAUAGCUGGUUCUCCCCGAAAGCUAUUUAGGUAGCGCCUCGUGAAUUCAUCUCCGGGGGUAGAGCACUGUUUCGGCAAGGGGGUCAUCCCGACUUACCAACCCGAUGCAAACUGCGAAUACCGGAGAAUGUUAUCACGGGAGACACACGGCGGGUGCUAACGUCCGUCGUGAAGAGGGAAACAACCCAGACCGCCAGCUAAGGUCCCAAAGUCAUGGUUAAGUGGGAAACGAUGUGGGAAGGCCCAGACAGCCAGGAUGUUGGCUUAGAAGCAGCCAUCAUUUAAAGAAAGCGUAAUAGCUCACUGGUCGAGUCGGCCUGCGCGGAAGAUGUAACGGGGCUAAACCAUGCACCGAAGCUGCGGCAGCGACACUAUGUGUUGUUGGGUAGGGGAGCGUUCUGUAAGCCUGCGAAGGUGUGCUGUGAGGCAUGCUGGAGGUAUCAGAAGUGCGAAUGCUGACAUAAGUAACGAUAAAGCGGGUGAAAAGCCCGCUCGCCGGAAGACCAAGGGUUCCUGUCCAACGUUAAUCGGGGCAGGGUGAGUCGACCCCUAAGGCGAGGCCGAAAGGCGUAGUCGAUGGGAAACAGGUUAAUAUUCCUGUACUUGGUGUUACUGCGAAGGGGGGACGGAGAAGGCUAUGUUGGCCGGGCGACGGUUGUCCCGGUUUAAGCGUGUAGGCUGGUUUUCCAGGCAAAUCCGGAAAAUCAAGGCUGAGGCGUGAUGACGAGGCACUACGGUGCUGAAGCGACAAAUGCCCUGCUUCCAGGAAAAGCCUCUAAGCAUCAGGUAACAUCAAAUCGUACCCCAAACCGACACAGGUGGUCAGGUAGAGAAUACCAAGGCGCUUGAGAGAACUCGGGUGAAGGAACUAGGCAAAAUGGUGCCGUAACUUCGGGAGAAGGCACGCUGAUAUGUAGGUGAAGCGACUUGCUCGUGGAGCUGAAAUCAGUCGAAGAUACCAGCUGGCUGCAACUGUUUAUUAAAAACACAGCACUGUGCAAACACGAAAGUGGACGUAUACGGUGUGACGCCUGCCCGGUGCCGGAAGGUUAAUUGAUGGGGUUAGCGGCAACGCGAAGCUCUUGAUCGAAGCCCCGGUAAACGGCGGCCGUAACUAUAACGGUCCUAAGGUAGCGAAAUUCCUUGUCGGGUAAGUUCCGACCUGCACGAAUGGCGUAAUGAUGGCCAGGCUGUCUCCACCCGAGACUCAGUGAAAUUGAACUCGCUGUGAAGAUGCAGUGUACCCGCGGCAAGACGGAAAGACCCCGUGAACCUUUACUAUAGCUUGACACUGAACAUUGAGCCUUGAUGUGUAGGAUAGGUGGGAGGCUUUGAAGUGUGGACGCCAGUCUGCAUGGAGCCGACCUUGAAAUACCACCCUUUAAUGUUUGAUGUUCUAACGUUGACCCGUGAUCCGGGUUGCGGACAGUGUCUGGUGGGUAGUUUGACUGGGGCGGUCUCCUCCUAAAGAGUAACGGAGGAGCACGAAGGUUGGCUAAUCCUGGUCGGACAUCAGGAGGUUAGUGCAAUGGCAUAAGCCAGCUUGACUGCGAGCGUGACGGCGCGAGCAGGUGCGAAAGCAGGUCAUAGUGAUCCGGUGGUUCUGAAUGGAAGGGCCAUCGCUCAACGGAUAAAAGGUACUCCGGGGAUAACAGGCUGAUACCGCCCAAGAGUUCAUAUCGACGGCGGUGUUUGGCACCUCGAUGUCGGCUCAUCACAUCCUGGGGCUGAAGUAGGUCCCAAGGGUAUGGCUGUUCGCCAUUUAAAGUGGUACGCGAGCUGGGUUUAGAACGUCGUGAGACAGUUCGGUCCCUAUCUGCCGUGGGCGCUGGAGAAUUGAGGGGGGCUGCUCCUAGUACGAGAGGACCGGAGUGGACGCAUCACUGGUGUUCGGGUUGUCAUGCCAAUGGCACUGCCCGGUAGCUAAAUGCGGAAGAGAUAAGUGCUGAAAGCAUCUAAGCACGAAACUUGCCCCGAGAUGAGUUCUCCCUGACCCUUUAAGGGUCCUGAAGGAACGUUGAAGACGACGACGUUGAUAGGCCGGGUGUGUAAGCGCAGCGAUGCGUUGAGCUAACCGGUACUAAUGAACCGUGAGGCUUAACCUU
RNAcentral lists this ribosomal RNA (2904 nucleotides) under Escherichia coli. RNAcentral's name for it is "23S ribosomal RNA". It matches the Rfam family "Bacterial large subunit ribosomal RNA". Lineage: Bacteria; Pseudomonadati; Pseudomonadota; Gammaproteobacteria; Enterobacterales; Enterobacteriaceae. The record is from RNAcentral.